AUUCCAGCUCCAAUAGCGUAUAUUAAAGUUGUUGCAGUUAAAAAGCUCGUAGUUGGAUUUCUGGACGGAGCAGCCGGUCCGCCGCUGUGCGGUGUGUACUCGUGCUUGACUCGGUUCAUCCUUGUGGGGAAGCGCAUUUCGGCAUUCAGUUGUCGAGGCGGGGAACCACAUCAUUUACUGUGAAAAAAUUAGAGUGUUUAAAGCAGGCAUUUUGCUGUGAAUACAUUAGCAUGGAAUAAUAACAUAGGACUUUGAUUCUAUUUUGUUGGUUGGAGAUCAAGGUAAUGAUUAACAGGGACAGUUGGGGGUACUCAUAUUUACAUGUCAGAGGUGAAAUUCUUGGAUUUUGGCAAGAUGAACUACUGCGAAGGCAUUUACCAAGGAUGUUUUCAUUA
RNAcentral lists this ribosomal RNA (395 nucleotides) under Stramenopiles sp. MAST-3C. RNAcentral describes it as "partial small subunit ribosomal RNA". It matches the Rfam family "Eukaryotic small subunit ribosomal RNA", at positions 582 to 975 of the family's 1831-position model. The record is from RNAcentral.